CUAGCUACAGGCUUAACACAUGCAAGUCGAGGGGAAACGACAGUAAAGCUUGCUUUAUUGGGCGUCGACCGGCGCACGGGUGCGUAACGCGUAUCCAACCUGCCCCCAACUCCGGAAUAGUCCCCCGAAAGGGGGGUUAACGCCGGAUGCUGCAGCUGCUCCGCAUGGUGAAGUUGCGAAAUGAAAAAGGUUGGGGCUGGGGAUGCGUCCCAUUAGGUAGUAGGCGGGGUAACGGCCCACCUAGCCGACGAUGGGUAGGGGUUCUGAGAGGAAGGUCCCCCACAUUGGAACUGAGACACGGUCCAAACUCCUACGGGAGGCAGCAGUGAGGAAUAUUGGUCAAUGGGCGAGAGCCUGAACCAGCCAAGUAGCGUGUGGGAAGAAUGCCCUAUGGGUUGUAAACCACUUUUGCAGGAGGGUAAAAUGCUUCACGUGUGGAGUAUUGCAAGUAUCCUGCGAAUAAGGACCGGCUAAUUCCGUGCCAGCAGCCGCGGUAAUACGGAAGGUCCAGGCGUUAUCCGGAUUUAUUGGGUUUAAAGGAGCGUAGGCGGGGAGUCAAGUCAGUUGUGAAAAGCCACGGCCCAACCGUGGUCGUGCAGUUGAAACUGGUUCUCUUGAGUGCGCACGAGGACGGUGGAAUUCGUGGUGUAGCGGUGAAAUGCUUAGAUAUCACGAAGAACUCCGAUUGCGAAGGCAGCCGUCCGGAGCGUUACUGACGCUGAGGCUCGAAGGUGCGGGUAUCAAACAGGAUUAGAUACCCUGGUAGUCCGCACGGUAAACGAUGGAUGCCGGCUGACGGCGACAGAAUGUCGGUGGCCACGCGAAAGUUUUAAGCAUCCCACCUGGGGAGUACGCCGGCAACGGUGAAACUCAAAGGAAUUGACGGAA
Molecule: ribosomal RNA, 888 nt
Filed under: uncultured bacterium
Lineage: Bacteria
Description: bacterial SSU rRNA
Rfam family: Bacterial small subunit ribosomal RNA
Source: RNAcentral